AUUCUUUUUUCACAAAUAAAAGUUUGAUUCUUUCUUUAAAGUUUAAAUUUUGAAUUAUUUUAUAUGUAAGAUUUUUCUUUUAUUUCUAAAUGAUUUUUUUUCAGUAUUUAAUUUUGGUUUUUAUUGAAAUAUAAAAUCAGGAUUUUAUUUUAUAACUGACAAAAAUUGUGCCAGCCGUCGCGGUUAUACAAUUAGUUAAAUUAAACUUUUUUGAUUUAAUAUUAAUUUUGUUUUUUAUAAUUUUAAUUUUAAUUUUUAGGUGAAAUUUUUAUUAAUUAUAUUAUUAUUGGUUAAUGAUUUAUAUAUGAAAAUUAUUAAUAAACUAGGAUUAGAUACCCUAUUAUUAUAAUUGUAAAUUUUUCUUAAUAUUAAUAGUUAUGUUCUUUAAAUUAAAAGAAUUUGGCGGUUAUUUAAUCUUUCUAGAGGAACCUGUCCUGUAAUUGAUAAUCCACGAUUGAUUUUACUUUAAUUAUACUUAUAUAUCGCUGUCAUUGAAUGUUUUAUAAGAUUAUUUUCUUAUAUUUUAUGAAUAUAAUGUUAGGUCAAGAUGUAGUUAUAUUAAAGAAGAGAUGGGUUACAUUUAUUUUAUUAAUGAAUUGAAAUUUGUAAUAUUUUUCAUGAAAUUGGAUUUAGAUGUAAUUUUUAUAAAAUAAUAAUUUUGAUUUUAGUUCUAAAUAAUGCACACAUCGCCCGUCACUCCCAUUAUGAGUUGGGAUAAGUCGUAACAAAGUAGGCCUACCGGAAGGUGGGCCUGGUCAGUUC
RNAcentral lists this non-coding RNA (762 nucleotides) under Gerris buenoi. The record is from RNAcentral. Lineage: Eukaryota; Metazoa; Arthropoda; Insecta; Hemiptera; Gerridae.